AACUCUCACCUCCAAUCUUUUUUAACUAGAAGGUUGGGGCGUGGACGUGAGUGCUGCUGGUGCCCUGGUUGCAUCGGCUCACUUGAAAUUCAUUAGCUGAAUCCUUUAAAGUAGGUUCUACUCGACGUGAUAAGAUCUCCGUCGAGGACAGUGCUUCGGCAUUGGCCAACGAUAAAGUUGAUACGCUUCUAAUUAGCGCAGACUUCGAGUGCUGGCAAUUUUGACAAC
RNAcentral lists this unclassified non-coding RNA (228 nucleotides) under uncultured Cystofilobasidium. RNAcentral describes it as "sequence contains ITS2". Lineage: Eukaryota; Fungi; Basidiomycota; Tremellomycetes; Cystofilobasidiales; Cystofilobasidiaceae. The record is from RNAcentral.